AGAUUGAACGCUGGCGGCAUGCCUUACACAUGCAAGUCGAACGGCAGCACGGGAGCAAUCCUGGUGGCGAGUGGCGAACGGGUGAGUAAUACAUCGGAACGUGCCCAAUCGUGGGGGAUAACGCAGCGAAAGCUGUGCUAAUACCGCAUAAGAUCUACGGAUGAAAGCAGGGGAUCGCAAGACCUUGCGCGAAUGGAGCGGCCGAUGGCAGAUUAGGUAGUUGGUGAGGUAAAGGCUCACCAAGCCUUCGAUCUGUAGCUGGUCUGAGAGGACGACCAGCCACACUGGGACUGAGACACGGCCAGACUCGUACGGGAGGCAGCGAGUAGGGAAUUUGGACAAGUGGGCGAAAGCUGA
RNAcentral lists this ribosomal RNA (357 nucleotides) under uncultured soil bacterium. RNAcentral's name for it is "bacterial SSU rRNA". It matches the Rfam family "Bacterial small subunit ribosomal RNA", at positions 26 to 386 of the family's 1533-position model. The record is from RNAcentral.